AACCUAGCACACCUGCGGUGUGUACCUGCGGAAGGAUCAUUACCUAGAGUUGUAGGCUUUGCCUGCUAUCUCUUACCCAUGUCUUUUGAGUACCUUACGUUUCCUCGGUGGGCUCGCCCACCGAUUGGACAAAUUUAAACCCUUUGCAGUUGAAAUCAGCGUCUGAAAAAACUUAAUAGUUACAACUUUCAGCAACGGAUCU
This 202-nucleotide unclassified non-coding RNA is filed under the name soil metagenome. RNAcentral's name for it is "partial contains 5.8S ribosomal RNA, internal transcribed spacer 2, and large subunit ribosomal RNA". The record is from RNAcentral.